RNAcentral lists this ribosomal RNA (332 nucleotides) under uncultured bacterium. RNAcentral describes it as "bacterial SSU rRNA". It matches the Rfam family "Bacterial small subunit ribosomal RNA", at positions 568 to 898 of the family's 1533-position model. The record is from RNAcentral.
CGCGUAGGUGGCCUGGUAAGUCUGUGGUGAAAGCGCGGGGCUCAACCCCGCGUCGGCCGUGGAUACUGCUAGGCUUGAGCACUGUAGAGGCAGGCGGAAUUCCGGGUGUAGCGGUGGAAUGCGUAGAGAUCCGGAAGAACACCAGGGGCGAAGGCGGCCUGCUGGGCAGUUGCUGACACUGAGGCGCGACAGCGUGGGGAGCAAACAGGAUUAGAUACCCUGGUAGUCCACGCCGUAAACGAUGGGCACUAGGCGCUUGGGGGAGCGACCCUCCGAGGGCCGGCGCUAACGCAUUAAGUGCCCCGCCUGGGGAGUACGGCCGCAAGGCUGAA